GUUGUCUUAGUUUAAGUUAUGAAUGUUAAUUUUCCAAAUUAAAGGUCUGGGUAUUAUCAGAGGCAAUA
RNAcentral lists this transfer RNA (68 nucleotides) under Rhopalaea idoneta. RNAcentral's name for it is "transfer RNA-Gly(GGN)". It matches the Rfam family "tRNA". Rfam says of the family: Transfer RNA (tRNA) molecules are approximately 80 nucleotides in length. The record is from RNAcentral. Lineage: Eukaryota; Metazoa; Chordata; Ascidiacea; Aplousobranchia; Diazonidae.